Molecule: ribosomal RNA, 506 nt
Filed under: uncultured Glomus
Lineage: Eukaryota; Fungi; Glomeromycota; Glomeromycetes; Glomerales; Glomeraceae
Description: SSU rRNA
Rfam family: Eukaryotic small subunit ribosomal RNA
Source: RNAcentral
AGCAGCCGCGGUAAUUCCAGCUCCAAUAGCGUAUAUUAAAGUUGCUGCAGUUAAAAAGCUCGUAGUUGAAUUUCGGGAUCAAUAUGUCGGUCGUGCCUCGGUACGUACUGGCUUAUUGGUUUCUCCUUUCUGAAGAACCAUGAUGUCAUUUAUUUGGUGUCGUGGGAAAUCAGGACUGUUACUUUGAAAAAAUUAGAGUGUUUAAAGCAGGCUCACGCUUGAAUACAUUAGCAUGGAAUAAUGAAAUAGGACGUUUGAUUCUAUUUUGUUGGUUUCUAGGAUCGACGUAAUGAUUAAUAGGGAUAGUUGGGGGCAUUAGUAUUCAAUUGUCAGAGGUGAAAUUCUUGGAUUCAUUGAAGACUAACUACUGCGAAAGCAUUUGCCAAGGAUGUUUUCAUUAAUCAAGAACGAAAGUUAGGGGAUCGAAGACGAUCAGAUACCGUCGUAGUCUUAACCAUAAACUAUGCCGACUAGGGAUCGGAUGAUGUUAAUUUUUUAAUGACUCA